AUUAAACGCUGGCGGCAUGCCUUACACAUGCAAGUCGAACGGCAGCACGGGGGCAACCCUGGUGGCGAGUGGCGAACGGGUGAGUAAAGCAUCGGAACGUGCCCUGGAGUGGGGGAUAACGUAGCGAAAGUUACGCUAAUACCGCAUAUUCUGUGAGCAGGAAAGCAGGGGAUCGCAAGACCUUGCGCUCUGGGAGCGGCCGAUGUCGGAUUAGCUAGUUGGUGGGGUAAAGGCCUACCAAGGCGACGAUCCGUAGCGGGUCUGAGAGGAUGAUCCGCCACACUGGGACUGAGACACGGCCCAGACUCCUACGGGAGGCAGCAGUGGGGAAUUUUGGACAAUGGGCGCAAGCCUGAUCCAGCCAUGCCGCGUGAGUGAAGAAGGCCCUCGGGUUGUAAAGCUCUUUUGUCCGGAAAGAAAAGCGCCGGGUUAAUACCCUGGUGUCCUGACGGUACCGGAAGAAUAAGCACCGGCUAACUUCGUGCCAGCAGCCGCGGUAAAGUACAGUG
Molecule: ribosomal RNA, 509 nt
Filed under: uncultured bacterium
Lineage: Bacteria
Description: bacterial SSU rRNA
Rfam family: Bacterial small subunit ribosomal RNA
Source: RNAcentral